This 358-nucleotide ribosomal RNA is filed under the name Eutropis carinata (many-keeled grass skink). RNAcentral describes it as "partial 12S ribosomal RNA". It matches the Rfam family "Bacterial small subunit ribosomal RNA", at positions 857 to 1384 of the family's 1533-position model. The record is from RNAcentral. Lineage: Eukaryota; Metazoa; Chordata; Lepidosauria; Squamata; Scincidae.
AUACAAAGCUGUUCGCCAGAGAACUACAAGUGAAAAACUUAAAACUCCAAGGACUUGGCGGUGCUCCACACCACCCUAGAGGAGUCUGUCCUAUAAUCGAUACCCCCCGUUUCACCUUACCAUUUUUUGCAGCUCAGCCUAUAUACCGCCGUCGCCAGCUUACCUUAUGAAAGACCAAAAGUAAGCAAAAGAGCUACAAGCUAACACGUCAGGUCAAGGUGUAGCACAUAAAAUGGAAGAGAUGGGCUACAUUUUCUUAUACAGAAAAUACGAACACUACAGUGAAAUCCGUACUUGAAGGAGGAUUUAGCCGUAAGGCAAACAAGAGAAUUUGCCUAAACCCCGCUCUGGAGCGCGC